RNAcentral lists this long non-coding RNA (1536 nucleotides) under Fukomys damarensis (Damara mole-rat). Its description in RNAcentral is "lncRNA (ENSFDAG00000030690.1)". Lineage: Eukaryota; Metazoa; Chordata; Mammalia; Rodentia; Bathyergidae. The record is from RNAcentral.
GCCUCUCCCCGCCCUCCGCUCCUUUCUCUCCUUGCCUCCUGGUUCUACAGCUUUGCAGGACCGGCCCGUGCCUGUCUAAAUAGCCUCACGCUGUUCCCCUAUCGAGUCUCAGUUUCCCCACCAGUUCCUUCCGAUGACCCCUCCGGGAUGCCUCCCUGGACUGGAAACGAGCCUGACUCUGUCAGUACCGCCCCCCCCCCCGUCCCCACUUCUGAACCCCGUGGCAUCUGUUCUUGGCCUCAGUCCUCCGUAUUGAAAUGCCACAGCUCAAAGCCUUGGAAAGAGGAGACCCUGGGCAGAGCAGCGCCUCGCAACACCCUCCCCCAGAGCCACAAAGCCUCCCUGCGCAGUCUCCACUGGAUGUGACACCUCCCAGCACCCCAGCUCCCCACCCUGGCCCCCUCUUCCCUCAAGUGCUUUCUGAGUUUGAUUAAUGAUGCAGCUCUAUCAUUAAUUUUGUUCUAAUUUUUUUUCAGAGAAACAUUGCAAACCUACUAUGUCAGAAAAUACAGUAGAAAAAUAGAUUACAGUAGAAAAAAUAUGUCAAUACAUAUAACUGUGGAAACCACCUUUUCGAUGUCUAAAAAUGUCUAAAAAGCCAAGGAUAUGUUAAGUUGAGGUGAGAGGAGCAGAAUGUAUUUCAAUAGUGGCAGUGGUUUUCUCUGGAUAGUGACAAACUUUUUGUUGUUGUUUUCUGAGAUGGGGGUCCCAUUAUGUAGCUGAGGCUAUCCUUGAAUUCGCAGUAAUCCUACCUCAGCCUUCCAAGUGCUGGAAUUAGAAAUUGGUUUUCUUUUUUUUUUCUUUUUUUUUUUUUUCAGUAUUUUUACUUUUCCCACAGUAAAAGUGUAUAACUUUUUUUCAAAAUAAAAGAAAAACAAAAAAGAUCUCUCACAGUCCUACUAAUUUGAUAAAGCCACUGCUAUUGUUUUGACUCCUUUUCCCAUCCAGUUAUUGUAUAUAGGUAUAAUUACAUCAUGCCCACCAUCCUGUUCCCUGCUUCUUUUACUCCAUGACAUAUGUUGAUUAGACUUCAAAAACAUAGCUUUUUAAACUGGGCGUGGUGGCACAUACCUGUAAUCCCAGCACUUGGGAGGCUGAGGCAGGAGGAUCACUGUGAGUUUGAGACCAGCCUGGGCUACAUAGUGAGUUCCAGGUCAGUCUCAACUAUAUAGCAAGACCCUGUCUCAAAAAAAAGCCAAAAUAAAACAAAACACACACACACACACACACACACACAAAAAAAAAAAACAUAGGGUGGGGGCUGUGGCUCAGUGGUACAAUGUUUGCCUAGCAUGUGGAAGACCCUUAGGUUCAAUCCCAAGAAAUGAAAAAUAAUUUUCAAUGGCUGCAUGAUGUGCUAUUAAGUGGGCAUACUGCAAUAUACUUCACUUUACUCUAAUCACCAACCACAUAGAUUUGUAUCUUUGUUAUUAUAACCCUUUCAGACUGUAAGCAUCGGUUGUUCUAAGAACUCUAGCAGGCCCCCAGAUGUGACGUUAGGCUGUGUAAAUACAUCUCUCAGAUUGUUUGCCACAG